This 255-nucleotide ribosomal RNA is filed under the name uncultured bacterium. Its description in RNAcentral is "partial 16S ribosomal RNA". It matches the Rfam family "Bacterial small subunit ribosomal RNA", at positions 524 to 777 of the family's 1533-position model. The record is from RNAcentral.
GACGAACCGUGCGAACGUUGUUCGGAAUCACUGGGCUUAAAGGGCGCGUAGGCGGGUGGCCGCGUCCGCGGUGAAAUCCCCCGGCUCAACCGGGGAAGGGCCGCGGGUACGGGCGACCUCGAGGCGGGUAGGGGCGUGCGGAACACUGGGUGGAGCGGUGAAAUGCGUUGAUAUCCAGUGGAACUCCGGUGGCGGAAGGCGGCACGCUGGACCCGAUCUGACGCUGAGGCGCGAAAGCCAGGGGAGCGAACGGGG